This 433-nucleotide ribosomal RNA is filed under the name uncultured bacterium. Its description in RNAcentral is "partial 16S ribosomal RNA". It matches the Rfam family "Bacterial small subunit ribosomal RNA", at positions 29 to 507 of the family's 1533-position model. The record is from RNAcentral.
AACGAACGCUGGCGGCAGGCCUAACACAUGCAAGUCGAGCGAGGACUUCGGUUCUAGCGGCGGACGGGUGAGUAACGCGUGGGAAUGUGCCCUUCUCUACGGAAUAGCCCUGGGAAACUGGGAGUAAUACCGUAUACGCCCUAUUGGGGAAAGAUUUAUCGGAGAAGGAUCAGCCCGCGUUGGAUUAGGUAGUUGGUGGGGUAAUGGCCUACCAAGCCGACGAUCCAUAGCUGGUUUGAGAGGAUGAUCAGCCACACUGGGACUGAGACACGGCCCAGACUCCUACAGGAAGCAGCAGUGGGGAAUCUUAGACAAUGGGGGCAACCCUGAUCUAGCCAUGCCGCGUGAGUGAUGAAGGCCUUAGGGUUGUAAAGCUCUUUCAGCUGGGAAGAUAAUGACGGUACCAGCAGAAGAAGCCCCGGCUAACUCCGUG